UAGCUAGUUGGUGAGGUAAAGGCUUACCAAGGAGACGAUCUGUAGCGGGUCUGAGAGGAUGAUCCGCCACACUGGAACUGAGACACGGUCCAGACUCCUACGGGAGGCAGCAGUGGGGAAUUUUGGACAAUGGGGGCAACCCUGAUCCAGCCAUGCCGCGUGAGUGAAGAAGGCCUUCGGGUUGUAAAGCUCUUUCGGCCGGGAAGAAAUCGCAUGGGCCAAUACCCUGUGUGGAUGACGGUACCGGAAUAAGAAGCACCGGCUAACUACGUGCCAGCAGCCGCGGUAAUACGUAGGGUGCGAGCGUUAAUCGGAAUUACUGGGCGUAAAGCGUGCGCAGGCGGUUUUGUAAGACAGGCGUGAAAUCCCCGGGCUUAACCUGGGAACUGCGUUUGUGACUGCAAGGCUAGAGUACGGCAGAGGGGGGUGGAAUUCCACGUGUAGCAGUGAAAUGCGUAGAGAUGUGGAGGAACACCAAUGGCGAAGGCAGCCCCCUGGGUCGAUACUGACGCUCAUGCACGAAAGCGUGGGUAGCAAACAGGAUUAGAUACCCUGGUAGUCCACGCCCUAAACUAUGUCAACUAGGUGUUGGGUGGGUAAAACCAUUUAGUACCGUAGCUAACGCGUGAAGUUGACCGCCUGGGGAGUACGGCCGCAAGGUUAAAACUCAAAGGAAUUGACGGGGACCCGCACAAGCGGUGGAUGAUGUGGAUUAAUUCGAUGCAACGCGAAAAACCUUACCUACCCUUGACAUGCCAGGAACUUGCCAGAGAUGGCUUGGUGCCCGAAAGGGAGCCUGGACACAGGUGCUGCAUGGCUGUCGUCAGCUCGUGUCGUGAGAUGUUGGGUUAAGUCCCGCAACGAGCUCAACCCUUGUCGUUAAUUGCCAUCAUUUAGUUGGGCACUUUAACGAGACUGCCGGUGACAAACCGGAGGAAGGUGGGGAUGACGUCAAGUCCUCAUGGCCCUUAUGGGUAGGGCUUCACACGUCAUACAAUGGUCGGUACAAAGGGUUGCCAAGCCGCGAGGCGGAGCCAAUCCCAGAAAGCCGAUCGUAGUCCGGAUUGCAGGCUGCAACUCGCCUGCAUGAAGUCGGAAUCGCUAGUAAUCGUGGAUCAGCAUGUCACGGUGAAUACGUUCCCGGGUCUUGUACACACCGCCCGUCACACCAUGGGAGCGGGUUCCGCCAGAAGUAGGUAGCCUAACCGCAAGGGGGGCGCUUACCACGGCGGGGUUCGUGACUGGGGUGAAGUCGUAACAAGGUAGCCGUAGGGGAACCUGCGGCUG
Molecule: ribosomal RNA, 1287 nt
Filed under: metagenome
Description: bacterial SSU rRNA
Rfam family: Bacterial small subunit ribosomal RNA
Source: RNAcentral